RNAcentral lists this transfer RNA (72 nucleotides) under Heterocephalus glaber (naked mole-rat). It matches the Rfam family "tRNA". From Rfam's summary of the family: Transfer RNA (tRNA) molecules are approximately 80 nucleotides in length. Lineage: Eukaryota; Metazoa; Chordata; Mammalia; Rodentia; Bathyergidae. The record is from Rfam by way of RNAcentral.
UGGGGUGUAGCUCAGUGGUAGAGCACUUGCCCAACAUGCGUGAGCCCCUGGGUUCUAGUCCCAGCACCAAAA